CUAAUACGGAUCCAGCAUGAGGUUGCGUUAUUCUAUGUUUAAAACCUGGGGUUUUGUGGUCUAGACUUGGGUUACCCGAGCGGACAACUGGGAUCGAGGAUGGGCAAUGUACUGGGAGCACGAAAGUCUUCCUGGCGUUGUUGCUUGCCCAACCCUAUAUUAUUUGGUAUAAUUUCUAAAAAAAAAAAAAGCACGCCACGUGAACGUGUGCACUAUUUUCAGAAGACUUCGAUGGGUGGCGUAAGAAGUCAUUUAAAUAUAGUUCAAGCAAUAUCAAAGUGGUAAAUAAUAAUUAGCACAUUAAGUUCACAAAAAUACAAUAAUAUCAAUCAAUAAAGACAAAUAAAAAUUGCAUUAACAAGCUCGAAUUCUUGAACCCUGAACCAUAAGUUCUGGGUUCUUAUUCCUUAGCAGAGUCGCGAGAGCUGUCACACCUCCUUUUUUACACACCACCUCGAGAGGGCGGUAUAUAAGGGAGUUUUUCCAAUAAAAGUGAUAUUAUUCAAAAUGGGAUUAUUUGUUUAUCAAAGUCGCCACUUAGAAUCAUUGGUGUCCCAAGUCACCGGUUUAUUAUAAAUUCCAAAUCAGGAAGUUUUAUUUUAAAAGAGUCUGCUCCAGAAAUUCUAGAUAAGGAAUUCUGUAAACCCGAGAGAAGGUGUUAGGCACCCCCGAUUUUCGUGGUUCUAGCAUGGUCUCUUAGCAAUUAUAUUCGGCUUAAAUUUUUUAACUACUCAUUUUUAGGACCAAUGUGCAAUUAUCUUUUUACCGCUUUUAAAUCACUUAA
RNAcentral lists this long non-coding RNA (784 nucleotides) under Nicotiana benthamiana. RNAcentral's name for it is "long non-coding RNA (NBEN_LNC029116)". The record is from RNAcentral. Lineage: Eukaryota; Viridiplantae; Streptophyta; Magnoliopsida; Solanales; Solanaceae.